Long non-coding RNA from Poecilia latipinna (sailfin molly), 117 nucleotides. RefSeq lists it as uncharacterized. The transcript has 3 exons. NCBI's taxonomy places the organism in Eukaryota, Metazoa, Chordata, Actinopteri, Cyprinodontiformes, Poeciliidae. The record is from RefSeq and is a predicted model, not a curated record.
CGUGUGUGGUUAUUCUAAAUUCCCGUAUGCUAUGUUGGGGGUUUUACUGGAUUAUCCUCUGGAAUCGGGAUGUUCGUGAGUGGAAGCGGUUCGUGUGGUUCCUGCCAUGAAGACAAG